CUACGGGUCGCAGCAGUGAGGAAUAUUGCACAAUGGGGGGAACCCUGAUGCAGCAACGCCGCGUGGAGGAUGACGCAUUUCGGUGUGUAAACUCCUUUUAUAUGUCAAGAAAAUGACGGUAGCAUAUGAAUAAGCACCGGCUGAACUCCGUGCCAGCAGCCGCGGUAAUACGGAGGGUGCAAGCGUUACUCGGAAUCACUGGGCGGAAAGGACGCGUAGGCGGGUUGGAAAGUCAGGUGUGAAAUCCUACAGCUUAACUGUAGAACUGCACUUGAAACUUCUAAUCUAGAGUAUGGGAGGGGGAGAUGGAAUUAGUGGUGUAGGGGUAAAAUCCGUAGAUAUCACUAGGAGUACCUAAAGCGAAGGCGAUCUCCUGGAACAUUACUGACGCUAAGGCGUGAAAGCGUGGGGAGCAAACAGGAUUAGAUACCCGAGUAGUC
RNAcentral lists this ribosomal RNA (440 nucleotides) under uncultured bacterium. Its description in RNAcentral is "partial 16S ribosomal RNA". It matches the Rfam family "Bacterial small subunit ribosomal RNA", at positions 339 to 795 of the family's 1533-position model. The record is from RNAcentral.